This 89-nucleotide small nucleolar RNA is filed under the name Trypanosoma cruzi. Its description in RNAcentral is "C/D small nucleolar RNA (snoRNA)". Lineage: Eukaryota; Euglenozoa; Kinetoplastea; Trypanosomatida; Trypanosomatidae. The record is from RNAcentral.
CUACGAUGGAGACAUGUUGUUCGAGGUCCAAACAGUUUGAGCGACGCAUUGAGAACGGAACAAUAAAAAAUCACCUUUUCGGCUGAGCG